AAGCCCCCGCCAGCCGACAGGAGUUUAUGCCUACACGGCAGGCAGGGCCGUGGUUAUCACUUCCUCUGCAGUAACACAGCAGGCCCCCGACAACCCUCUGGGGCGGAGACCUCCUCUGACCUGUUCCAGCUCUUUAUUUAAGCCAUGUGGCCUUUCUUUGGUCUCCUUUUCUGUGUUCGCCCUUUGAGUUGCCUGGUGUGAGCCGGAGGCUCCCUGCUUGGAGAGGCCACCUGACCAUCUCCCUCCCAGUUGGCUGAUUUCGGAAAAGCAGGGUCAGAACACACUUGCUCAUAAGGGUGUCUGGCCUCCAGCAGUGCCAUCCGGUCUGCUCUGACCCAGCCUCACGGUUGUCCUGGGAGUGCACGUCGUCGGGGGACAGUGGCCUCGGGCUCCCAGGGCUGUUCUCUGAGGGGGACCCCCAGAGCGCCUCCUCUGCUGCCCCCAGGAGGGGCUCACGGCUGCAGAUGCCCAGCCAGUACACCACAACGCUGUGAUGUACUUGGAAGAGGCUCAGCCCCUCUAGGGAGAGUCCCCGUCAGAAGGAGCAGAGGGGCCUCCACCCAGACCUGGGCCCGAGGUCUGGGAAUGAGGCACUCAUGCUGGGGCUCCUGACGCACCCCCACUCCAGCGCCAGCCACACAGUCAGCACGCCAUGGGCCCUGCCUGCCUGGACAUCGUCUGGCCUUCUUCCAUCCCACCUGCACAGUUUCUCCACCCCAGUUCAGGGGCUCAGAGGGCCAGGUGGCCCAGACCUCCAUGUGCGCACUGCUCUGAACUCCCCCAAUGUUCUGGAGGCUGCAGCAAGGUUGGGGUGGGAGCACAGGGAACCCUGGUUCCCAUGGGGAGGUCCAGACAGACUUGGGGUGUCUCGGAGCAGGGUGAGCCCUCUGGGACCAUGUUUCACUGGCCCUCCAGGCAACACAGGCCCAUGGACAAUGGUCCGCCAGAGCAGAACCCACUGAGGUGUAUCCCAGGUGUAGGGAGUGCCUCUGAGUAUAUUUAGAAUCUCGGUUUUCUUUCGUUUUUAACAAGGCAUGUGUAGAUCGUGGGGCCACCAGUCACCACCACCACCACCUGUGGGCCUGGGACCCAGGUUGGGGUGAGGGCACAGCAGCUGGGCCUGAGGUCUGGGGUGUGGACAGUGUCCUGAGAGGACCACCCCUCACCAAAUGGAGGAGCAGAAGAAUAAUAAGCAGGGAAAGCCUGGGUAGAUGCCAGACCUUGAAGGAACUUCCUGCUGGGGGGUGUCUUCCCCACGAGACCCCCAUCCUCCAGGUGGCAGCCAGGUGCACAGGUCGGUUCCCCAGCACAGUGAGUUGGCAAUUUCCAGCUGCUGGAAUUUCUUUGUUACUUUGUUUCAAUGCUGACUUGUUCCCAACUUUAGGAGCAUAAAUAAAUGAGACCUGUUUUUCUAA
Molecule: non-coding RNA, 1415 nt
Organism: Callorhinus ursinus (northern fur seal)
Lineage: Eukaryota; Metazoa; Chordata; Mammalia; Carnivora; Otariidae
Source: RefSeq, a predicted model, not a curated record